AUUAUUUAAGAGAGCUAAUGUUGUUAGUAAAUAAAAAUUAUGAAAGCAAAAAAUUAUGGCGGUAUUUUAAGCUUUUCAGAGGAAUUUGCUCUUUAAUGGAUAAAACACCUAAAUCUUACUUAAAUUUGUUAGUUCAAUUUGUAUACCACUAUAAAAACAAUUAAUAACUUUAAUUGUUAAAAUUUAUUAAAUUAAAUUAUGUUAAGUCAAGGUGCAGUAAAAAUUUAAGAAUGAAGUGAAUUACAUUUCUUUUCAGAGAAAAAAAAAUUAAAUCUAUAAAUAGGAUUUGAAAGUAAAAUUAAAAUAGAAUGCUAAUUUGAAUAAAGCUCUAAAAUAUGUAC
This 341-nucleotide ribosomal RNA is filed under the name Rhipicephalus congolensis. Its description in RNAcentral is "partial small subunit ribosomal RNA". The record is from RNAcentral. Lineage: Eukaryota; Metazoa; Arthropoda; Arachnida; Ixodida; Ixodidae.